UUAGUGUUGACAACGUUAUGGUAUUCGUGCGGUUAUCCCAAAUACCCCAAACAAUGUCCUUAAUUAAUUAUGAACCUGCUAAACCACCUGUGCUACCCUAACCAUAACCUGUCUCAAAUAACACCCUCAUCAUUUGGGACACUCAGUUUUUGGAAAACAAUUUGGGACACUAAACUGCACCAUCAAUUUCCUUUUAUUGUUAUUCCAGGGCUGCUUUAAGUCCAUGGACUUUUGUGGUUGAAGAUGGCCCAGAGAGAGAGAACACAAAUUCAUGAAGAACAAAGGGAAACUUUGAAAUCCUUUUUUGAGGAGGGAAUGACACGGGUUGGUUCCCCCCUCAUAUCAAGAGCUGCAUCAGCGACUGGUUUGGAAACCAGUGUC
Molecule: long non-coding RNA, 381 nt
Organism: Esox lucius (northern pike)
Lineage: Eukaryota; Metazoa; Chordata; Actinopteri; Esociformes; Esocidae
Exons: 4
Source: RefSeq, a predicted model, not a curated record